Molecule: ribosomal RNA, 874 nt
Filed under: Ensifer sesbaniae
Lineage: Bacteria; Pseudomonadati; Pseudomonadota; Alphaproteobacteria; Hyphomicrobiales; Rhizobiaceae
Description: bacterial SSU rRNA
Rfam family: Bacterial small subunit ribosomal RNA
Source: RNAcentral
AGUCGAGCGCCCCGCAGGGGAGCGGCAGACGGGUGAGUAACGCGUGGGAAUCUACCCUUUUCUACGGAAUAACGCAGGGAAACUUGUGCUAAUACCGUAUAAGCCCUUUGGGGGAAAGAUUUAUCGGGAAAGGAUGAGCCCGCGUUGGAUUAGCUAGUUGGUGGGGUAAAGGCCUACCAAGGCGACGAUCCAUAGCUGGUCUGAGAGGAUGAUCAGCCACAUUGGGACUGAGACACGGCCCAAACUCCUACGGGAGGCAGCAGUGGGGAAUAUUGGACAAUGGGCGCAAGCCUGAUCCAGCCAUGCCGCGUGAGUGAUGAAGGCCCUAGGGUUGUAAAGCUCUUUCACCGGUGAAGAUAAUGACGGUAACCGGAGAAGAAGCCCCGGCUAACUUCGUGCCAGCAGCCGCGGUAAUACGAAGGGGGCUAGCGUUGUUCGGAAUUACUGGGCGUAAAGCGCACGUAGGCGGACAUUUAAGUCAGGGGUGAAAUCCCGGGGCUCAACCCCGGAACUGCCUUUGAUACUGGGUGUCUAGAGUAUGGAAGAGGUGAGUGGAAUUCCGAGUGUAGAGGUGAAAUUCGUAGAUAUUCGGAGGAACACCAGUGGCGAAUGCGGCUCACUGGUCCCUUACUGACACUAAUGUGCGAAAGCGUGGGGAAGCAAACAGGAUUACAUACCCUGGUAGUCCCCCCCCGUUUACGAAAAAUAGUUAUCCGUCGGGGAAUAUACUGUUCCGUGGCGCACCUGGUUCAUUACACAAAUCCGCCCGGGGGUUACCGUCGCACGAUUAAUACUCCUAGGAAUUUACAGAGGGCCCGCACCCCCAGUGGUAGGGUGUUGUUUGAUUCUAACCACCGGGNNUANNCCUCCNAAC